This 443-nucleotide ribosomal RNA is filed under the name uncultured bacterium. RNAcentral's name for it is "bacterial SSU rRNA". It matches the Rfam family "Bacterial small subunit ribosomal RNA", at positions 954 to 1392 of the family's 1533-position model. The record is from RNAcentral.
GCAGAACGCGAAGAACCUUACCAAGGCUUGACAUACACCAGAACACUCUAGAAAUAGGGGACUCUUUGGACACUGGUGAACAGGUGGUGCAUGGUUGUCGUCAGCUCGUGUCGUGAGAUGUUGGGUUAAGUCCCGCAACGAGCGCAACCCUCGUUCUAUGUUGCCAGCACGUAAUGGGUGGGGAACUCAGUGGGAUACUGCCGGGGUCAACUCGGAGGAAGGUCGGGGAUGACGUCAAAUCAUCAUGCCCCUUAUGUCUUGGGCUUCACGCAUGCUACAAUGGCCGGUACAAAGGGCUGCAAUACCGUGAGGUGGAGCGAAUCCCAAAAAGCCGGUCCCAGUUCGGAUUGAGGUCUGCAACUCGACCUCAUGAAGUCGGAGUCGCUAGUAAUCGCAGAUCAGCAACGCUGCGGUGAAUACGUUCCCGGGUCUUGUACACACCG